GGAAGGAUCAUUAAUGAAAUGCAAGGACGUUCUUUUUAGAAGUUCCGACCCAAAUCAUUUUUCUUCUCACACUGUGCACUAUACUACUUUUUUACACCAUUUUUUAACACUUCAGUCUUAAGAAUGUAAAUCAAGUCUCUUAAUUGAGCAACAAACCAAGUAAAACUUUCGGCAACGGAUCUCUUGGCUCCCACAUCGAUGAAGAACGCAGCGAAAUGCGAUACGUAAUGUGAAUUGCAGAAUUCAGUGAAUCAUCGAAUCUUUGAACGCACCUUGCACUCUUUGGUAUUCCGAAGAGUAUGUCUGUUUGAGUGUCAUGAAACUCUCAACCCCCUCAUUUUGUAAUGAAAUGCAGCGUGGGCUUGGAUUGUGGUUGCUGCUGGCUUUCAUUAGUCGGCUCAACUGAAAUACACGAGCGACCCGACUUUAUAAUAAGCGUUUGACUCGGCGUAAUAACUAUUACCGCUGAGGAGCUUUCUAUAAUAAUAGUGGUGCUUCUAAUGCAUUAAUACAAUUUUAAGCUUUAGACCUCAAAUCAGUCAGGACUACCCGCUGAACUUAAGCAUAUCAAACCCGGGGGGGGAAAAAACUUCUUUAAGGAAAUGGCGGGACCUUCUUUUUUAAAAUCGACCCAAUCAUUUUUCUUCUCACA
RNAcentral lists this ribosomal RNA (652 nucleotides) under Rhodotorula sp. UFMG-ABT656. Its description in RNAcentral is "eukaryotic LSU rRNA". The stretch from base 164 to 317 matches the Rfam family "5.8S ribosomal RNA". The record is from RNAcentral. Lineage: Eukaryota; Fungi; Basidiomycota; Microbotryomycetes; Sporidiobolales; Sporidiobolaceae.